Long non-coding RNA from Cyanistes caeruleus (blue tit), 394 nucleotides. RefSeq lists it as uncharacterized. The record is from RefSeq and is a predicted model, not a curated record. NCBI's taxonomy places the organism in Eukaryota, Metazoa, Chordata, Aves, Passeriformes, Paridae.
GCUCCAUUUUCAAUUGUGUUAGAGGAACCAAGAUUUCAGGCCAUUAUCUCAUCAUUCCCAUGAAUAGCAACACGAAAUGUGCUUGUGCUGCUGGGACACCAAGCCUGGCUGGGAGGACAUGGCCACUGAAGGAAAUCCAGAAGAAACCACGCUGCCACAGAGAGUACUGAAAGCCCAAGGAGAAACCCCAAGGCAGGACAGGAUGUAAGACAGCUCUAGAGAACAAUGAAUACUGUGCUGUGGUGCUGGAUGCUCACCCUGGCAGGUUCCAGACCAUCAUCUCCCAUCAUCAUGGUGUCUCCAGCCAUGGCUCAGCCUCCCCUUUGCUGGCAACAUCUUCUCAUCAGACUGUGCAUCCCAACCUCAAAUCGAGUGAGCUGAGAAACUGAAAAAA